Molecule: ribosomal RNA, 449 nt
Filed under: uncultured bacterium
Lineage: Bacteria
Description: bacterial SSU rRNA
Rfam family: Bacterial small subunit ribosomal RNA
Source: RNAcentral
ACCAGACUCCUACGGGAGGCAGCAGUGGGGGAUAUUGCACAAUGGGGGAAACCCUGAUGCAGCGACGCCGCGUGGGUGAAGAAGUAUUUCGGUAUGUAAAGCCCUAUCAGCAGGGAAGAAAGAAGACGGUACCUGACUAAGAAGCCCCGGCUAACUACGUGCCAGCGGCCGCGGUAAUACGUAGGGGGCGAGCGUUAUCCGGAUUCACUGGGUGUAAAGGGAGCGUAGACGGCCGUGCAAGCCAGGAGUGAAAGCCCGGGGCCCAACCCCGGGACUGCUCUUGGAACUGUGCGGCUGGAGUGCGGGAGGGGCAGGCGGAAUUCCUGGUGUAGCGGUGAAAUGCGUAGAUAUCAGGAGGAACACCGGCGGCGAAGGCGGCCUGCUGGACCGCGACUGACGUUGAGGCUCGAAAGCGUGGGGAGCGAACAGGAUUAGAUACCCUCGUAAUG